Molecule: non-coding RNA, 2538 nt
Organism: Lolium perenne
Lineage: Eukaryota; Viridiplantae; Streptophyta; Magnoliopsida; Poales; Poaceae
Source: RefSeq, a predicted model, not a curated record
GGAAACGAGCUCCGCGUCGAUCUUAGUCAUUCAUUCAUCAGACAAAACCGCCGACGAAAACCCUAUCCGCUCACCCGUGCCUCCUCUCUUCCCCUCCCGAACAGAGAGCUCUCGGGUGGAGAGGCUCAACCCGCGUCCAUCACACUCCGGCGGCGCCACAGCCUUCCCUAACCCUAGAUCGACGGGGCCGCCGCCAUCUCAUCUCCUCUUCCAGAAAGCGGGAGUAGUAGUGAAGACCACGAUGGGAUGCUACUCUGUCGGUGAUCAAGGACGGGAAAAAGAAGGCUGUUUGAUGUGUGGAUGGAUUUGAAUGGGACGGACGCAUCACGGUUGAAGGAUGUUCGCCACAACUUAAAAGGAGGUCAAUCAUGUUUAAAUUGUCUUUCUAAAUUGGCUUUCACAUGCAGCAGCACCAUAGGAAUUAGUCCUCAAUCAAGACUUGUCUGGCCUAUGACGACAACAAUGUGUCAGGACAAAGCAUUUUUUGAUUGGAUCAAACGAUGAGUUUUCCAAUUUUUCUACUUCGAAUAUUUACUCGAGUGAGUACCGAGGAGGCGAGAAGCACAACUCGGGUCAUGAGUGAGAAGUAGGAGGGUAUCGGUCAUCUGCAACUUUGGAUGGUUCCCAAGUUGAUUACCGGCGGUCUGAUGCGGGAGAUGCUACGCCAGCCAUGGUCGCUGGCGGAAGGACCUCUGGAGAAAGCGAUAGCUCAGCAUCGAUGGCGACAGCGGCCGGAUAGGUAGGCACUCUCUCCUCUCCCUCUCUCCGGCUUCUCAAACCCUAGCGCCGCCUGCUUUUGGCCGUCUUCUCCAGUGCCGGUGACCGGGAGUCAGCCGACACCGUUCAUCUCCUCCCACCGGUAGCCUUGCCCUGCGCUUCCUCCCCUCACGGCUUUUUCUUGAACAUGGAGGAAGGAUGCGGCUGAACGUAGACAAUGACCGGCAGGGAGAAAAACAAGGUAGAUUUCUGCUCUCAUUUUCUUUCUUUGACGUUUUCUCCUCAUUAGCUAUGGAAUGUUAGCUAACUGACGGUGUUACUUUCUAUAGGAGGUUGGGAUGAUCUACAUGACAAUCUGACCUAGCAGUGUUCAACUUCUUAUUCACUUCUUGUCUUCUCCGCUGUUUUUUCUGUUUGUUUUAGUUCAGAUCAAAGCAAUAGUGACACUUCUGCAUAUAUAGAUUGAAGUGAUUAUUUUUUGUUUUGAUAAGUUCUUCUUGCUGAAGCGAAUAAAGCUUCAUCAGUGCCCAUGAACUAGGAGCUGAUUGGCUUCUAAAGAGGCAUCAAACUUUAAAAGCAAUAUUAUAAUGUAUGGUUAAGAAACUUAAUUGAUCUGAUUUUGUUCCUCUUCAUGGCCUUUUCAAAGUAUAAUUUUGUCCUGGCAAGAGGCAAAUCCUUAACACGUGAAUUGUUUAAAAGGUAUUGUAGGACACCAAAUUUCGAGCAAAAUCGAGAUAUUAGACUUGAAGAUGUCGAUACUGCAUUCAGUGGGUGUGUUUUUUCCUAUUGCGAUUCAACUACAUCAUGCAAUGGAGGCUCAAGGGAGGCAAAAAAAAAAUGCUACCUAGGGGUUUGCUGCUUCCUUUCAGAUACCUAUUCUUUCUCUGAACAGGAAUUUAUUGACGCGUUACAAGUAGCAUGCAGUUCUUGUCCUAUAAACUACACGGCCUAUGAUGAUCCCAACAAUGUUUUCUAGCUCUAUACAUAAGCUUAAGUGAUCUAAAAGAGAUACGAAUGGAAAUUCAAAAUACCUGGAAAAUCCAAUAACGCAAGAGUUAGAGUGAAGAGGUUGCAUACAUAAGCUACGUAAGGAAAUAUAUUCAACCACAGUUAUCUCGCAAACCCGCAGAACAAUUGAAUGUUGAGAAGAUGAAAGGAGGAAACAGUCCUCAGAGUAAAAAAGAAGGUCAUCACUGCAACAUUAUUUAGCUUCAUAUCAUCUACAUCGUGUUAUGUUGUGGCGAGACUGAUGACUUUGAUCUUGGGUAUUAACAGGUUGGAGUGGGAGAUGUUGUAUAAGCCUAAGUGACCACAUGGCCACUACCUAUCAUGCAAUAUGGCGAUUGAUAUGGAUCUAAUCAUGAGAAGAGUAUAAAGACAGAGACAUGAUGGAGGGAAUGCAGAUUGGUCCUCAAUGCGUAUCACUAAGUUUUUUUUGGAAGAAAUGAGGAAAAUUAGCUCCAUGGAAGUUCAUCUGAAUAAUGUAAGUCAUAACUCAAGUUUUGGUUCUGGUUGCCCUGAUUUGGUGGCCUGAUGUACGCAUGCAUAACCUGCUAUAAUCUUAUUCAUGCCUACAAAGUGCUCAGUAAAGCCGCAAAACAAUGUGAAUAUGCAUGAAAAAGGUAUAUUUCUGCUCCAAUCAAACAUUCUCACCCUGAUCCAUCAUUUCUGGAUAUCCGUAUUCUUGAUUUGCGGCCAAAUUAGUUUGUCUAUUUGUCUAUUGUCAGGUUAAUAUCAUGAUAGGAAUAUUAGUGUGUAAUUUUUCUCUUUCUAGGCGAUGAAUGCAUAAAGUAAACCUUUGGACUCCUUCAACUUUUUUAU